Long non-coding RNA from Acipenser ruthenus (sterlet), 1464 nucleotides. RefSeq lists it as uncharacterized. The record is from RefSeq and is a predicted model, not a curated record. The transcript has 4 exons. Lineage: Eukaryota; Metazoa; Chordata; Actinopteri; Acipenseriformes; Acipenseridae.
UAUUUUCAAUGUGUAUCGAGCUAUCCAGAUGUAUACAUACAGGUAGUGCUGUUCCCGGGUGCAGUGGAGCUCAGUUCAGCAGUCUGGAGCACAGCAUGCUGAGGAGCUGCCUGAUCUCUCUCUCUCUCUCAUGGAAAUGACCAUUAUAAUUGGCAGAGACCGUUUUCCACAACAUGUCAGUAGUGUCAGGUCUUUAGGGCUGCAUCACAAUGAAUGCUUUUCUCAUUCUUUUGAAAAGGUCAGUACCUGUAUGUCCCUGAGAAGAAUGGAGAGUGUCUCCGUGUGACCGAUGAAGAGGAGAAGACUGCCAUUCUCAAAGAAGUUCACGCAGGACACUUCGGCUCAUGGGUGUGUGAACAAGGGGGUGGGGGGAGCCCCAGAAUUAGGAGUUAUUUGUUUUAUUGUGUUGGACAGCACACGUGGAGGGGUGAUGAGGUGAUGGACACAGCCAGGCUCUGCUACGUAGACAGUACCCACAGGUGGGAGGUUUGUAUGCUGUCACCAGCCUGACACAGCUGACCUCCUUCAGCUCACCGGCUCAGGGAUUUGUACAGAUUCUCAAUGUGUCUUGCAAUCACUGGGUCAUGGUCGUAUCACUGCUGCAGUACAGUGGAAAGACAGUUGGGAUCGUGUGGCCACAUGUACAGCAGCAGCAGGGAUGGAGGGACUGUGGACUGUUUACCAUCGCAAACAGCCUCACACUCUGCAUGGGUGGAGAUCCAGGUAAGUUAUGUUAUGAUCAAAAGCAAAUGCGUGAUCAUCUUUUUUCUUGUUUUGUAGAUGGAUCUCUUCCUCCUUUCCCGAGCUGUGAGAGAACUCCCCUCCCAGAGGUACAUUUCUGUGAUGUGGAGACCAGACAGGAUUGCACUGGAGCUGAUGGUGGAAUGCGGGAGGUGUGGAGAAUGGUUCCAUGGCCAGUGUGAAGAUCUACAGCCAGAUGACCUCAUCAGUAUGGAGGAGUGUCUGACAUGGACGGCUCACAGGAGAUCCAGUUGCUCUACUCUCUGUGCCAGUAGAGGCCACUUUACUUUCCUUGAGUAAACUUUCCUUUGUAAAGGGUUUUGGCUGGUAAACGGUUGAGCCGUCCAGUUGUAGUUAGGCCUUGUUUUGUUUAUUUUUGUUUUGUAUUUAAUAAAAGUACACAACAGUGCUACAAAGAACUGCUCUGUGUCUGGGUCUGUUAAUAGGGUGUAAAUAAGCCUUGGCCAAAGGCUAUUGUUACAAUAUUGUUACAAUUGUUGCAUAAGGUUCACACAGUACCUUUCUCUUGUGACCACCCAGGUCUGCUCCACACAUGACUUUCCUCUGUCAGCCCUGUCUACAGGGUUUCCCCUGCAUUUAUCCAGGGCUUAAUCAGCCUCAGGUGCUUCACAUUAAGAUUAGAGCCAGGUGAACCUCGUCCUGACUCAGUCCCGGUGCAUUCUGGGUAACGUAGUGCAAUUACUACCUGUCUCCUCCCCAUAC